This is a long non-coding RNA of Salvia miltiorrhiza (redroot sage), 1049 nucleotides long. RefSeq lists it as uncharacterized. The transcript has 2 exons. The record is from RefSeq and is a predicted model, not a curated record. Lineage: Eukaryota; Viridiplantae; Streptophyta; Magnoliopsida; Lamiales; Lamiaceae.
UAAGUUUAAAUGAAUACAACUAUUGAAUAUAUAGUAUUAUUUGUAUUUUGUCCUUAUUCCCCAUUAACAUGAAUGAGAUUUGUUGCACUUUGUAGUGAUUAAACCAGAAACUAAAAGCACCUAAUUUGCUUUAUACAUAUGGAAACAACUGUUAAUGGGAAAUGGUCUUGCACUUUUGUGACUCCGUGUUUUCUAUGUGUUUAAUUACCUUCACUUAUGUUACUCUGCUUUAUUUUAAAUCAAUUUCUGAUUUAAAUAUUAGUAGCUAAUGUGAAUGUUUUGUCUUAAUUUGAGAUAUUGUAGCUGCUUCACUGAUUAAGAAUGAUUUUUGAAGUGCGUUUUCAAAGUCCACUGUUUUGAAGAUUUUUGAGCUAUUAUGAUGAGAUACCAUUUAAAGUUGGUGCUCCUGGUGCUUUCUCAGACCCAACAUCAGGUGACAAGAUGGCGCUAGAUCAAUUCAUCUCAUUGUGGAUUCAAGAAGAUACAAGUGCUCUAUCUAGCAUGCCUUUGAGUAAGUCCAAAUUAAGGCAUGAGCACUUGCCCAGUUAUGGACUGCAGGCUCCUACAUCAGAGCACUGUCGUCCUCCAUCUUGUCCUCCUGCACAUGUUGAGAUCUCUUUGGGGACCCAAAUGUAUGGCUACAGAAUUCAGCACCAGAAUUUGCAUCACAAAGUGCCUGUAGAGAAGUCAUCAAAACUAUCCCAGCUAUCCUCAAAAAGAUUUCUCAGUGCCGAGCAAAAAGGAUUUAGUAAUGUUCAAGCUCCCAGGCCAACAUAUUCAAUUAGUUAUUUGCAAGAUAUUCUAAUCGCGUAUCUCAGCUUCAAAUGCAAGCUAGAGGGUCUUGAAAGGAGGCAAGAAUUUGUGAAUCAUUUGCAUACUUGAUAUUAAUGUUCAAGCUCCCAGGCCAAUCAUUAGCUAUAAGGUAGUUGGUAUUUUCAAUUUUGAAUCGGAAUAUGCAAUGAUGAUGUAUACUUGAUAUUUGGUUCAUUUGUAUAAUAAUGUAUGAAUUUUUUGGAUGAUAUAUAAUAUUGUUAUCGUUGAUUUUAUCA